GACGAACGCUGGCGGCGUGCUUAACACAUGCAAGUCGAGCGGUAAGGCCCUUUCGGGGGUACACGAGCGGCGAACGGGUGAGUAACACGUGGGUGACCUGCCCUUAGCUCUGGGAUAAGCCUGGGAAACUGGGUCUAAUACCGGAUAUGACUCCAUGACGCAUGUUGUGGGGUGGAAAGCCUUGUGCGGCUAGGGAUGGGCCCGCGGCCUAUCAGCUUGUUGGUGGGGUGANGGCCUACCAAGGCGACGACGGGUAGCCGGCCUGAGAGGGCGACCGGCCACACUGGGACUGAGACACGGCCCAGACUCCUACGGGAGGCAGCAGUGGGGAAUCUUGCGCAAUGGGCGAAAGCCUGACGCAGCGACGCCGCGUGGGGAUGACGGCCUCGG
Molecule: ribosomal RNA, 390 nt
Filed under: uncultured bacterium
Lineage: Bacteria
Description: bacterial SSU rRNA
Rfam family: Bacterial small subunit ribosomal RNA
Source: RNAcentral